Molecule: non-coding RNA, 241 nt
Organism: Coturnix japonica (Japanese quail)
Lineage: Eukaryota; Metazoa; Chordata; Aves; Galliformes; Phasianidae
Source: RefSeq, a predicted model, not a curated record
CUUGGUGCUUGCAGGGAGGAUAACAGAGAAGACAUGAAGAUACACCAGAGGGAAUGGAGGGGCUCUGAGUGAAAUCUACAAAGAUUUGGAGCACUGGCUUGGGCAUCCUGUGUUCCUGCAGGUGCAGUGCUUGUGUGCACCCCAUGGACACAGAGCAGGAAAGUGUGGGAGAAAGCCCUUUGGAAUAUAAAGUCAAGCAGGCAGAGGACAGCACAGAUGGAGUAUCAGCAGCAACUUCUGC